This 45-nucleotide non-coding RNA is filed under the name Schistosoma margrebowiei. The record is from RNAcentral. Lineage: Eukaryota; Metazoa; Platyhelminthes; Trematoda; Strigeidida; Schistosomatidae.
AUUCAACUGACGAGUCUCAAACAGUACGAAAAGCGUGUCCUGGAU